UCCCUUACUGAUUCAUAUGCAUAGUUUAUUAUAAACUAUCAUAUCAAUAAAAUUCAUUGCAUCAAGGCUGAGUUGUUAAAUAUGCUGGUAACCAUUGAAGAAACCUUGAAGAGUUCAAGGGGCACUGCUCUUGCUAUGAAAUGGAUGUCAUCUUUCAAGAGAAAGCCUACUGGGAAGAAGAAGAAAUCCGUAAAGAAACAAAAGACUCAAAAUAAGCUUAAGAAGG
RNAcentral lists this long non-coding RNA (226 nucleotides) under Elaeis guineensis (African oil palm). RNAcentral describes it as "long non-coding RNA (EGUI_LNC034068)". The record is from RNAcentral. Lineage: Eukaryota; Viridiplantae; Streptophyta; Magnoliopsida; Arecales; Arecaceae.